Molecule: ribosomal RNA, 199 nt
Filed under: uncultured Methanosaeta sp.
Lineage: Archaea; Methanobacteriati; Methanobacteriota; Methanomicrobia; Methanotrichales; Methanotrichaceae
Description: partial 16S ribosomal RNA
Rfam family: Archaeal small subunit ribosomal RNA
Source: RNAcentral
GGUAGGUCAGUAUGCCCCGAAUAUCCCGGGCUACACGCGAGCUACAAUGGUUGGUACAAUGGGUAUCUACCCCGAAAGGGGACGGGAAUCUCCUAAAACCAAUCUUAGUUCGGAUUGAGGGCUGCAACUCGCCCUCAUGAAGCUGGAAUCCGUAGUAAUCGCGUUUCAACAGAACGCGGUGAAUACGUCCCUGCUCCUU